This 465-nucleotide ribosomal RNA is filed under the name uncultured bacterium. RNAcentral's name for it is "bacterial SSU rRNA". It matches the Rfam family "Bacterial small subunit ribosomal RNA", at positions 62 to 522 of the family's 1533-position model. The record is from RNAcentral.
UCGAACGGCAGCGGGGGCUUCGGCCUGCCGGCGAGUGGCGAACGGGUGAGUAAUGCAUCGGAACGUACCCAGUCGUGGGGGAUAACUACGCGAAAGCGUAGCUAAUACCGCAUACGCCCUGAGGGGGAAAGCGGGGGACCUUCGGGCCUCGCGCGAUUGGAGCGGCUGAUGUCGGAUUAGCUAGUUGGUGGGGUAAAGGCCUACCAAGGCGACGAUCCGUAGCUGGUCUGAGAGGAUGAUCAGCCACACUGGGACUGAGACACGGCCCAGACUCCUACGGGAGGCAGCAGUGGGGAAUUUUGGACAAUGGGCGCAAGCCUGAUCCAGCCAUGCCGCGUGAGUGAAGAAGGCCUUCGGGUUGUAAAGCUCUUUCAGACGGAAAGAAAUCGGGCGCGUGAAUAGCGUGCCUGGAUGACGGUACUGUCAGAAGAAGCACCGGCUAACUACGUGCCAGCAGCCGCGGUA